Amphimedon queenslandica is the source of this 365-nucleotide long non-coding RNA. RefSeq lists it as uncharacterized. NCBI's taxonomy places the organism in Eukaryota, Metazoa, Porifera, Demospongiae, Haplosclerida, Niphatidae. The record is from RefSeq and is a predicted model, not a curated record. The transcript is spliced from 2 exons.
AAGAGCAGGGAGGAAAUUUACUUGAGACAUUUAAAGCUAAUCAAGCUCGGCUAAGAGAAGAAGAGGAAAAGAGAAUGUCCACUUAUUCUUCAAAGGGCAAAAGAUUUGGAUCAACUUUCAACGUCUUCUCUUUUAAGAAGUCUUCCUCAUCUUCCCCUGCACCUCUUGAAGUAGCCAUACCUGCUGAUACACCUCCUGUAUCACCAGCUCCUCUUGAUGGAAGUGAAACUAAUAAACCUCAAACUACUGGUGGUGGAUGGCUUGGCUGGUUGGGAUUGAAAUAAGUCCUUGUACUAUAGCUGUACUGUGAAAAAUUUAUUACUAAUCAAUGAUCAUUAAAAAUAAAAUUUGUAAUUGGCGUGAAA